RNAcentral lists this ribosomal RNA (525 nucleotides) under uncultured bacterium. Its description in RNAcentral is "bacterial SSU rRNA". It matches the Rfam family "Bacterial small subunit ribosomal RNA", at positions 984 to 1509 of the family's 1533-position model. The record is from RNAcentral.
ACAUCCAGAGAACUUGGCAGAGAUGCCUUGGUGCCUUCGGGAACUCUGAGACAGGUGCUGCAUGGCUGUCGUCAGCUCGUGUUGUGAAAUGUUGGGUUAAGUCCCGNAACGAGCGCAACCCCUAUCCUUUGUUGCCAGCGAUUCGGUCGGGAACUCAAAGGAGACUGCCGGUGAUAAACCGGAGGAAGGUGGGGAUGACGUCAAGUCAUCAUGGCCCUUACGAGUAGGGCUACACACGUGCUACAAUGGCGCAUACAAAGAGAAGCGACCUCGCGAGAGCAAGCGGACCUCAUAAAGUGCGUCGUAGUCCGGAUCGGAGUCUGCAACUCGACUCCGUGAAGUCGGAAUCGCUAGUAAUCGUAGAUCAGAAUGCUACGGUGAAUACGUUCCCGGGCCUUGUACACACCGCCCGUCACACCAUGGGAGUGGGUCGCAAAAGAAGUAGAUAGCUUAACCUUCGGGAGGGCGUUUACCACUUUGUGAUUCAUGACUGGGGUGAAGUCGUAACAAGGUAAGCGUAGCGAG